This 564-nucleotide ribosomal RNA is filed under the name Streptomyces lavendulae subsp. grasserius. Its description in RNAcentral is "bacterial SSU rRNA". It matches the Rfam family "Bacterial small subunit ribosomal RNA", at positions 93 to 671 of the family's 1533-position model. Lineage: Bacteria; Bacillati; Actinomycetota; Actinomycetes; Kitasatosporales; Streptomycetaceae. The record is from RNAcentral.
UAGUGGCGAACGGGUGAGUAACACGUGGGCAAUCUGCCCUUCACUCUGGGACAAGCCCUGGAAACGGGGUCUAAUACCGGAUACCACUCCUGCCCGCAUGGGUAGGGGUUGAAAGCUCCGGCGGUGAAGGAUGAGCCCGCGGCCUAUCAGCUUGUUGGUGGGGUAAUGGCCCACCAAGGCGACGACGGGUAGCCGGCCUGAGAGGGCGACCGGCCACACUGGGACUGAGACACGGCCCAGACUCCUACGGGAGGCAGCAGUGGGGAAUAUUGCACAAUGGGCGAAAGCCUGAUGCAGCGACGCCGCGUGAGGGAUGACGGCCUUCGGGUUGUAAACCUCUUUCAGCAGGGAAGAAGCGAAAGUGACGGUACCUGCAGAAGAAGCGCCGGCUAACUACGUGCCAGCAGCCGCGGUAAUACGUAGGGCGCAAGCGUUGUCCGGAAUUAUUGGGCGUAAAGAGCUCGUAGGCGGCUUGUCACGUCGGAUGUGAAAGCCCGAGGCUUAACCUCGGGUCUGCAUUCGAUACGGGCUAGCUAGAGGGUGGNAGGGGAGAUCGGAAUUCCU